UCUCAUCAGUUCUCUCCUCUUUUCUUCUCUCCUCCUCCCUUCUCAUCAGUUCUCUCCUCUUCCCUUCUCAUCAGUUCUCUCCUCUUUUCUUCUCUCCUCCUCCCUUCUCAUCAGGUCUCUCCUCUUUUCUUCUCUCCUCUUCCCUUCUCAUCAGGUCUCUCCUCUUUUCUUCUCUCCUCUUCCCUUCUCAUCAGGUCUCUCCUCUUUUCUUCUCUUCCCUUCUCAUCAGUUCUCUCCUCUUUUCUUCUCUCCUCUUCCCUUCUCAUCAGUUCUCUCCUCUUUUCUUCUCUCCUCCUCCCUUCUCAUCAGUUCUCUCCUCUUUUCUUCUCUCCUCUUCCCUUCUCAUCAGUUCUCUCCUCUUCCCUUCUCAUCAGUUCUCUCCUCUUUUCUUCUCUCCUCUUCCCUUCUCAUCAGGUCUCUCCUCUUUUCUUCUCUCCUCUUCCCUUCUCAUCAGUUCUCUCCUCUUUUCUUCUCUCCUCUUCCCUUCUCAUCAGUUCUCUCCUCUUUUCUUUUCUUCUCUUCCCUUCUCAUCAGUUCUCUCCUCUUUUCUUCUCUCCUCUUCCCUUCUCAUCAGGUCUCUCCUCUUUUCUUCUCUCCUCUUCCCUUCUCAUCAGUUCUCUCCUCUUUUCUCCUCUUCCCUUCUCAUC
This is a long non-coding RNA of Oncorhynchus tshawytscha (Chinook salmon), 647 nucleotides long. The record is from Ensembl. Lineage: Eukaryota; Metazoa; Chordata; Actinopteri; Salmoniformes; Salmonidae.